This 1173-nucleotide long non-coding RNA is filed under the name Homo sapiens (human). RNAcentral's name for it is "HSALNT0166857". The record is from RNAcentral. Lineage: Eukaryota; Metazoa; Chordata; Mammalia; Primates; Hominidae.
UCAUUGCAACCUCCACCUCCUGGGCUCAUGUGAUUCUCAUGCCUCAGCCACUCUAGUAGCUGGGACUACAGACACAUGCCACCAUGCCCAGCUAAUUUUUGUAUUUUUAGUAGAGACAGGAUUUCCCCACAUUGGCCGGGCUGGUCUCGAACUCCUGGCCUUAAGUGAUCCACUCGCCUCAGCCUCCCAAAGUGUUGGGAUUACAGGUACAAAAAAAGAAAAGAAAGAGAGAGAGAAAAAAAGAAAGAAAUGAACCUGGAACUGAUUACAUCUCAGAGAUGUUCACUCUUAGAAAACAGCCACCACCAUGCUGCAAAGAAGCUCAAAUUAGCCUAUCUGGGUAGGUAGGUGUUCUGAGGGACAAUCAACAUCAAUCACCAGCCAUGUGAGUGAAGAAGCCUCCAGGUUCUAAGUACCAGCCAUAAAGUCACCACCAGCUUUUGAAUCUUCCCAGCUAAGGCUUAAGCAAGCCAUCUGUGCAGAAACUGUCCUGUCUGAAUUCCAACAGAUCCAUAGCACAAUAAAAUGGUUGUUUUACACCAUUAUGUUUUGGAAUGGCUUGCUACAAACACAACAAAAGGUAACCAGAAAAAAAGUGCCCUUUCCCAGUUUGGUAGCUUUACAUUACACACAUACACACCACCCCUAAAAUCAAGUUUUUCUCAACUUUAAGGAAGGUCCAAUCCAAUGUGCAAUUUGGCAGACCUGUUUAAAUAAGACAGUUUCUACUUAGGAGGCUUAACAAUUCAUCUCAUAUAUACCCUGAAUACCUAUGAUAUGUAAGAUACUUUCCUAGAUUCCUAAGACACAAAGAUGAAUAACAUAUAGUCUGUAGUUAAAAGUUUACAAUCUAGGAAGAGAAUAAAAUGGGUACACACUAGUUUAUGAAAGUACCUAAGUGCCAAAAUAGGAUUAUAAAGUUAACUCUGCCACAAAUAGUUACAGCAUCAUUUUGGACUUAUAAACAGCUUUUGGGUCCUUCAGGAAAGUAGAUGGGCUUUAGUAAAUGCCUAGAAAAAGAAGACUGGGAAAAAAAAAACAUGAAAAAUGUGGGCCUCAUUAUGUUAUGUUUAGAUUGUGAGAUUAUGAGUGUUUUCUGUUCUCCUUUUAAAUUUCCUGUAUUUGCCAUGUUUUCUAUAGUAAGUUAUAUAUUAGAUUUUUUGAGGAAAAAAU